Molecule: ribosomal RNA, 601 nt
Filed under: uncultured archaeon
Lineage: Archaea
Description: bacterial SSU rRNA
Rfam family: Archaeal small subunit ribosomal RNA
Source: RNAcentral
GCAGGCGCGAAAACUUUACAAUGCGGGCAACCGUGAUAAGGGAACCUCGAGUGCCUGUAUACGCAGGCUGUCCAGGUGCCUAAAACACACCUGAAGAAAGGGCCGGGCAAGACCGGUGCCAGCCGCCGCGGUAAUACCGGCGGCUCGAGUGGUGGCCGCUUUUAUUGGGCUUAAAGCGUUCGUAGCUGGUUUGUUAAGUCCCUUGGGAAAUCUGGCGGCUUAACCGUCAGGCGUCUAAGGGAUACUGGCAAUCUUGGAACCGGGAGAGGUGAGGGGUACUUCGGGGGUAGGAGUGAAAUCCUGUAAUCCUCGAGGGACCACCUGUGGCGAAGGCGCCUCACCAGAACGGCUUCGACAGUGGGGGACGAAAGCUGGGGGAGCAAACCGGAUUAGAUACCCGGGUAGUCCCAGCCGUAAACGAUGUGCGUUAGGUGUAUCGACGACCACGAGUCGUCGAGGUGCCGAAGGGAAACCGUGAAACGUACCGCCUGGGAAGUACGGUCGCAAGGCUGAAACUUAAAGGAAUUGGCGGGGGAGCACCACAACAGGUGGAGCCUGCGGUUUAAUUGGACUCAACGCCGGAAAUCUCACCGGAUAGGAC